Molecule: ribosomal RNA, 492 nt
Filed under: uncultured bacterium
Lineage: Bacteria
Description: partial 16S ribosomal RNA
Rfam family: Bacterial small subunit ribosomal RNA
Source: RNAcentral
AGUGAACGCUGGCGGUAGGCCUAACACAUGCAAGUCGAACGGCAGCACAGUAAGAGCUUGCUCUUACGGGUGGCGAGUGGAAGACGGGUGUGGAAUGCAUCGGACUCUACUUUUUCGGGGGGGAUAACGUAGGGAAACUUACGCUAAUACCGCAUACGACCUACGGGUGAAAGCAGGGGAUCUUCGGACCUUGCGCGAUUGAAUGAGCCGCGGUCGGUUUAGCUAGUUGGCGGGGUAAAGGCCCACCAAGGCGACGAUCCGUAGCUGGUCUGAGAGGAUGAUCAGCCACACUGGAACUGAGACACGGUCCAGACUCCUCCGGGAGGCAGCAGUGGGGAAUAUUGGACAAUGGGCGCAAGCCGGAUCCAGCCAUCCCGCGUGGGUGAAGAAGGCCUUCGGGUUGUAAAGCCCUUUUGUUGGGAAAGAAAGGCUGCAGGUUAAUACCGCGCUGUUCUGACGGUACCCAAAUAAUAAGCACCGGCUAACUUCGUG